UUGAAUUUUUCAAAAAUUUGUAUUGGGUGCAAAGUAAUGAGCAUAUGAAAUUUUUAUUUCAUGUUGGGUCAAAUAAGCUGUGAGCCACUGUAUGUAUUGCUUUCAAAUUAGCAUGGAAUAUUGGCAAACUCACAUACCAUCCAGCAAUAUGAUGCGAUCAAGACCAAAUUGCUGGAAGGAAUAUAUAAAUUUUAGAACAAAAGAGGACGAAGUGAAGUCUAGAAUACGCUAGGGAUGGUAAUGGAUGAGAAUGGAGAAGAAUUAAAAAAUAUUGUUGGAUGCAAAAAAUGUUUCAAAAUUCUGAAGUACUCUAAUUGUACUUCGAAUUUAGUUAAACACAAAUGCUGUGUAGCAGCAAAAAACUCGUUAACUGAAACAGACAUCCCUGCAACACAUGUCGGUCCAGAAACCAAAAAGCUUAUUUUAGAAGCUGCUACUGAAUGGACCGUCAAAAAUUGUCGGCCCUUUAAUAUCAUCAAAGACGAUGGGUUAACGAAAUUACUUGCAAUAUUUACUAAAGUUGGAGCAAAAUAUGGUAGUGGAGUAAAUAUAGAUGAAAUUACUCCCCACCCGUUGACAAUCUCGAGAAAUGUGUCAGAGCUCUACAAUUUAGAGUUUGAAUAUAUAAAAGCAGAUGUUAUUAAAGCAAAAACAUCCGGCUAUAGCAUCACAUCUGAUAUCUGGACGGACGAGUUCCUAAAGAGAUCAUAUAUAUCGUGCACAGUGCACUAUAUUAGACGCGGUGCAAUGCUCACCCGCCUGCUAGCACUGAAGUCGAUGGGAGAUGAAUCAAAUACAGGCGCAAACAUUAAGAAUAAAAUCACAAAAAUUUUGAAUGAUUAUAAUUUGGCAAUGGAUGACGACAAAGCCAUAGCAGUCACUGACCGAGGCUCCAACAUGAUUAACGCAUUUAAAAGGGGCAGUCACAUUCAUUGCAUAAAUCACCUAUUAAAUAAUGUUGUGUAGAAAGCAAUUAAAGUUAUUUUAGAACUA
Drosophila mojavensis is the source of this 993-nucleotide long non-coding RNA. RefSeq lists it as uncharacterized. The record is from RefSeq and is a predicted model, not a curated record. NCBI's taxonomy places the organism in Eukaryota, Metazoa, Arthropoda, Insecta, Diptera, Drosophilidae. The transcript is spliced from 2 exons.